CCUACGGGGGACAGCAGUGAGGAAUAUUGGUCAAUGGACGAGAGUCUGAACCAGCCAAGUAGCGUGAAGGAUGACUGCCCUAUGGGUUGUAAACUUCUUUUAUAUGGGAAUAAAAUGUUCCACGUGUGGGAUUUUGUAUGUACCAUAUGAAUAAGGAUCGGCUAACUCCGUGCCAGCAGCCGCGGUAAUACGGAGGAUCCGAGCGUUAUCCGGAUUUAUUGGGUUUAAAGGGAGCGUAGGUGGAUUGGUAAGUCAGUUGUGAAAGUUUGCGGCUCAACCGUAAAAUUGCAGUUGAAACUGGCAGUCUUGAGUACAGUAGAGGUGGGCGGAAUUCGUGGUGUAGCGGUGAAAUGCUUAGAUAUCACGAAGAACUCCGAUUGCGAAGGCAGUUCACUGGACUGCAACUGACACUGAGGCUCGAAAGUGUGGGUAUCAAACAGGAUUAGAUACUCGAGUAGUC
Molecule: ribosomal RNA, 460 nt
Filed under: uncultured bacterium
Lineage: Bacteria
Description: partial 16S ribosomal RNA
Rfam family: Bacterial small subunit ribosomal RNA
Source: RNAcentral